This 253-nucleotide ribosomal RNA is filed under the name uncultured bacterium. RNAcentral describes it as "partial 16S ribosomal RNA". It matches the Rfam family "Bacterial small subunit ribosomal RNA", at positions 524 to 776 of the family's 1533-position model. The record is from RNAcentral.
UACGUAGGGGGCUAGCGUUGUCCGGAUUCAUUGGGCGUAAAGCGCGUGUAGGCGGCCAGAUAGGUCUGCUGUGAAAACUCGAGGCUUAACCUCGAGAUGUCGGUGGAAACCAUCUGGCUAGAGUCCGGAAGAGGAGAGUGGAAUUCCUGGUGUAGCGGUGAAAUGCGCAGAUAUCAGGAAGAACACCCGUGGCGAAGGCGGCUCUCUGGGACGGUACUGACGCUGAGACGCGAAAGCGUGGGGAGCGAACAGG